UGCCCUAUAGUUCAGUUGGUAGAAUGCUUGAUUGUUAAUCAAGAUGUCGCUGGUUCGAGUCCAGCUGGGGCAG
Molecule: transfer RNA, 73 nt
Filed under: Streptomyces tamarix
Lineage: Bacteria; Bacillati; Actinomycetota; Actinomycetes; Kitasatosporales; Streptomycetaceae
Description: tRNA-Asn
Rfam family: tRNA
About the family: Transfer RNA (tRNA) molecules are approximately 80 nucleotides in length.
Source: RNAcentral